AGUAUAACAGAACUGUGGGGACGCAGAGGGAGAGCACUAGCGGGAAUGGAAUCCCGCGGCAAGCGAGGUAGGAGUCGCGCUGGCAAAUCCGCGUGACAAUCCGAAGACGUGAUGCAUGCCGAACUGAAGUAGGGAAAUGUGUGAGCCAGCUGCCAAGAAAAGCCGCUAUUGUUUGUACUGUACCCGUACCGUAAACCGACACAGGUAGGUGAGGAGAGAAUCCUAAGGCCGACGGGAGGAGCAUUGUUAAGGAACUCGGCAAAAUGACUCCGCAACCUCGGGAGAAGGAGUGCCAGUGAGAGCUGGCCGCAGAGAAUUGGCCCAAGCAACUGUUUAGCAAAAACACAGGUCUAUGCAAAACCGUAAGGUGAAGUAUAUGGGCUGACGCCUGCCCGGUGCUGGAAGGUUAAGGGGAGAGGUUAGCGCAAGCGAAGCUUUGAACUUAAGCCCCAGUAAACGGCGGCCGUAACGAUAACGGUCCUAAGGUAGCGAAAUUCCUUGUCGGGUAAGUUCCGACCCGCACGAAAGGCGUAAUGAUUUGGGCACUGUCUCAACAAUGCACCCGGUGAAAUUGAAAUACCAGUGAAGAUGCUGGUUACCUGCGCCAGGACGGAAAGACCCCAUGGAGCUUUACUCCAGCUUGAUACUGGGAUUCGAUAUUGUAUGUACAGGAUAGGUGGGAGGCGAAGAAGCAUUGACGCCAGUUGAUGCGGAGCCGCUGUUGGGAUACCACCCUUGCAGUAUUGGAUUUCUAACCAGCAGCCGUGACCCGGCUGGGGGACAAUGUCAGGUGGGGAGUUUGACUGGGGCGGUCGCCUCCGAAAGGGUAUCGGAGGCGCUCAAAGGUUCCCUCGGAAUGGUUGGAAACCAUUCGAAGAGUGCAAAGGCAGAAGGGAGCUUGACUGCGACACCGACGGGUGGAGCAGGUACGAAAGUAGGACUUAGUGAUCCGGUGGUAUAAAGUGGAAUUGCCAUCGCUCAACGGAUAAAAGCUACCCUGGGAUAACAGGCUUAUCACUCCCAAGAGUUCACAUCGACGGAGUGGUUUGGCACCUCGAUGUCGGCUCUUCGCAUCCUGGGGCUGAAGUAGGUCCCAAGGGUUGGGCUGUUCGCCCAUUAAAGCGGUACGCGAGCUGGGUUCAGAACGUCGUGAGACAGUUCGGUCCCUAUCCGGCGUGGGCGUAGGAUAUUUGAGAGGAGCUGGCCUUAGUACGAGAGGACCGGGCUGGACUGACCGCUGGUGUAUCUGCUGUUCCGCCAGGAGCAUGGCAGAGUAGCCAAGUCAGGAAGGGAUAAACGCUGAAGGCAUCUAAGCGUGAAGCCCCCCUCAAGAUGAGAUAUCCCAACGUAGAGUUGUAAGACCCCUUGAAGACGACAAGGUAGAUAGGGCAGAGGUGGAAGUGCAGUAAUGCAUGGAGCUGACUGUUACUAAUCGGUCGAGGGCAUAACU
Molecule: ribosomal RNA, 1450 nt
Filed under: metagenome
Description: bacterial LSU rRNA
Rfam family: Bacterial large subunit ribosomal RNA
Source: RNAcentral